GCUGUCAAGUAGCCUAUUCAGCAC
This 24-nucleotide non-coding RNA is filed under the name Arabidopsis thaliana (thale cress). Lineage: Eukaryota; Viridiplantae; Streptophyta; Magnoliopsida; Brassicales; Brassicaceae. The record is from RNAcentral.